This 625-nucleotide ribosomal RNA is filed under the name bacterium DR2A-7G16. Its description in RNAcentral is "bacterial SSU rRNA". It matches the Rfam family "Bacterial small subunit ribosomal RNA", at positions 255 to 880 of the family's 1533-position model. The record is from RNAcentral.
GGGUAACGGCCCACCAAGCCUUCGAUCAGUAGCUGAUGUGAGAGCAUGAUCAGCCACACGGGCACUGAGACACGGGCCCGACUCCUACGGGAGGCAGCAGUAAGGAAUAUUGGUCAAUGGACGCAAGUCUGAACCAGCCAUGCCGCGUGGAGGAUGAAGGCCCUCUGGGUUGUAAACUUCUUUUCUUUGGGACGAAACCCCUGUUUCUACGGGGACUGACGGUACCAGAGGAAUAAGCACCGGCUAACUCCGUGCCAGCAGCCGCGGUAAUACGGAGGGUGCAAGCGUUAUCCGGAUUCACUGGGUUUAAAGGGAGCGUAGGUGGGCUUUUAAGUCAGUGGUGAAAUCUUUGGGCUUAACCCGAAAACUGCCAUUGAUACUAUUAGUCUUGAAUUCUCUGGAGGUAAGCGGAAUAUGUCAUGUAGCGGUGAAAUGCUUAGAUAUGACAUAGAACACCCAUUGCGAAGGCAGCUUACUACGGAGACAUUGACACUGAGGCUCGAAAGCGUGGGGAUCAAACAGGAUUAGAUACCCUGGUAGUCCACGCCCUAAACGAUGAUUACUCGACAUUAGCGAUAUUACUGUUAGUGUCUAAGCGAAAGCAUUAAGUAAUCCACCUGGGAAG